Molecule: long non-coding RNA, 630 nt
Filed under: Homo sapiens (human)
Lineage: Eukaryota; Metazoa; Chordata; Mammalia; Primates; Hominidae
Description: HSALNT0360177
Source: RNAcentral
GGGGGGGUGGGGGGUGUCACAGAGCUGGGAACUCGCUCAGAGCCAGGGUCUCUGCUGGGGUCAGCGUCUGUACGCUAAAGCCAGGGCGCAAAGUGCGUGGGCACUGCGGACACUAGAGGCUUAUGGCGCUGGAAAUACAAGGCCGAGUUGCCGGCGCAAAGAGUUCCCCGGGCGGGUUGGUGAUGCGGCGCGCUUUGAUAACAGGUGCCCAACACCUUGAUCAGUGCCUGCUUUGUAGUAGGCAUUCAAAUACUGUGGACUGGAUGAAUGGAGUCACUUCCCUUCCAACCUGCACACCAACGUGGUUGAACUGCCUCCUUUCUAAGUGCCAAAGUCUGUUUUACAAGGCUGAUAUCAAAGGAGCAUUACAAAAUAUUGUCUAACAGAAGUACCAGGGCUGGAUCCCAAAGUUUUGUGUAGAUCUUGAUAAAGAGUUUGGAUUUUAUUCUAACAAGAGUGAAGAGCAUGACAAUGUUUGCAGAAGAGUGAUGGCUUCUUUCAGGCAACAGUGACAAUUACACCUCCUCUUUUUCUCUUUGAUCCUCCACCCUCUCCCUCCAGCACCUGGUACAAAGCUGGGUACCCAGCAGACACUCUGUAAAUUAAAGUGCUGCCAGCCUGAACAAUCUC